GCCUUCGUGGUGUAGUGGGCAGCACACUCGGCCCGCAUUCGAGAGGUCCGUGGUUCGAGUCCCGGCAAGGAUA
RNAcentral lists this transfer RNA (73 nucleotides) under Stegodyphus mimosarum. It matches the Rfam family "tRNA". Rfam says of the family: Transfer RNA (tRNA) molecules are approximately 80 nucleotides in length. Their secondary structure includes four short double-helical elements and three loops (D, anti-codon, and T loops). The record is from Rfam by way of RNAcentral. Lineage: Eukaryota; Metazoa; Arthropoda; Arachnida; Araneae; Eresidae.